GAUGAACGUUGGCGGUGCGCCUAAUACAUGCAAGUCGAACGGAGACAGUAGCAAUAUUGUCUUAGUGGCGAACGGGUGAGUAACGCGUUGGUGAUCUGCCUCGAAGUGUGGAAUAACGUUCCGAAAGGAGCACUAAUACCGCAUGGUCUUCCGGUUUUUAGAAAGCUGGAAGUAAAGGAGUAAUUCGCUUCGAGAGGAGCCUGCGUCCCAUCAGCUAGUUGGUAAGGUAAUGGCCUACCAAGGCAAUGACGGGUAGGGGACCUGAGAGGGUGGCCCCCCACAAUGGAACUGAAACACGGUCCAUACACCUACGGGUGGCAGCAGUAGGGAAUAUUAGUAAUGGGCGAAAGCCUGAACUAGCGACACCGCGUGUGCGAAGAAGGCCUUCGGGUUGUAAAGCACUUUUAGAGAGGAUGAGGAAGGACGGUACUCUCUGAAUAAGUCUCGGCUAACUACGUGCCAGCAGCCGCAGUAAUCUGUAGUCGU
RNAcentral lists this ribosomal RNA (486 nucleotides) under uncultured bacterium. RNAcentral describes it as "bacterial SSU rRNA". It matches the Rfam family "Bacterial small subunit ribosomal RNA", at positions 28 to 534 of the family's 1533-position model. The record is from RNAcentral.